Long non-coding RNA from Pan paniscus (pygmy chimpanzee), 949 nucleotides. The record is from Ensembl. NCBI's taxonomy places the organism in Eukaryota, Metazoa, Chordata, Mammalia, Primates, Hominidae.
UAAACAUGUAAUCAUCAUUCAAGCCACUAUCUAAUACAGCAUGUUGGGAUGGAAGGAUUUUGUUUCACUCAGGCAUUCCCAGUUCCACCUUCCUUUCAUUUUGUGGAUUAGUCCUCCUGUAGGCCUUGCACAGGUGAAGAUCCUGGCUGUAUCUACUUAAUUCGACAGGCAACGGGGAGCUUUCGAAUAUUUGUGUGCAGAAGGCUGGAGGUCACAGAUGUAUGAUAUACUUAGUAAGUGCUGGGAGAAGAAAGAAAGGAGAUCUAUCAGAAAGGAGCGAACAAGGGAAGGAGGAAACAGAUCUACUCCACUACGCUAGCACGCAGAGGAGGAUGGAGAACGCAUCCAGGGAUUUAUUGCCCAAAAUGAUGCUCAAGACCCCUCACAUCAGCAGAAGAACAAAACAGUGGUACAGACUGGACAUAAUUGUCAAGAGGAAGAAAGAAGAGAAGGAAUAGAAUCACACCAGAGAGCCCAGAAAUAUGGAUGGCUUUGAAAGAAAUGCCCCGUGAUUACCUGGAGUCAGAUGGAGCAUCAGCCCAGAAUUCCACAUGAGGAAGUCAUGGGUGCUGGUUUUUUUCACUCUGCACUGCUCCCCAGAAGUUCUCUACAUGAAAGGAUUCAUUUAUUCAGAAUCAACUCUCUUCCCUGUCAAAAUGCAUUAACCAGAACCCUGAAGGUUGAGUGAGGCUGACAGACUCUGAAAAUUCCCUCCCAUAGAGACCCCCUUCUGAAGCUGCUGAUCUUCUUUCCCCUUUACCUGCCCCCAUCCUGGAUUCUUGGAUGUGGAUGAUGGGGGAGGUAAUAUGAGGAGAAUUUUAUAUCUUGAGGGGUACUUCUUAUUCUGCAAUUGUAUACUGUGUUUAAAGUCAUUUUAUCUAGGCAGGGGUGAACUACAAAUAGCUUCUCCAUAUCCUUCUGUUCCCUUCUCCUUGCCCUGAGAGACACA